AUACGGAGGAUCCGAGCGUUAUCCGGAUUUAUUGGGUUUAAAGGGUGCGCAGGCGGGAGAUUAAGUCGGCGGUGAAAAUUUGCAGCUCAAAUGUAAAAGUGCCCUCGAAACUGGGUUCCUUGAGUGUAGAUGAAGUAGGAGGAAUUUGUGGGGUAGCGGUGAAAUGCAUAGAUAUCACGAGGAACUCCGAUUGCGCAGGCAGCUUACUAAACUACUACUGACGCUCAGGCACGAAGGCGUGGGGAUCAAACAGGAUUAGAUACCCUGGUAGUCCACGCAGUAAACGAUGAUUACUAGCUGUUUGCGAUACAAUGUAAGCGGCUGAGCGAAAGCGUUAAGUAAUCCACCUGGGGAGUACGUUCGCAAGAAUGAAACUCAAAGGAAUUGACGGGG
RNAcentral lists this ribosomal RNA (393 nucleotides) under uncultured bacterium. Its description in RNAcentral is "partial 16S ribosomal RNA". It matches the Rfam family "Bacterial small subunit ribosomal RNA", at positions 523 to 918 of the family's 1533-position model. The record is from RNAcentral.